ACUCAAAUGAAUUGACGGGGACCCACACAAGCAGUGGAUCAUGCGGUUUAAUUCGAUAAUAAACGGGGAAUCUUACCCAGGCUUGACAUCUAGAGAAUCUUGCAGAAAUGUAGGAGUGCCCUCACGGGAACUCUAAGACAGGCGCUGCAUGGUUGUCGUCAGCUCGUGCCUUGAGGUGUUCGGUUAAGUCCGUUAACGAGCGCAACCCAUGUCAUUAGUUACUAUGUCUAAUGAGACUGCCCGAGUUAAUCGGGAGGAAGGUGUGGAUGACGUCAAAUCAGCAUGGCCCUUAUGCCUGGGGCCACACGCAUGAUACAAUGGUCGGUACAAAGAGUAGCAAUGUGGUAACACGGAGCCAAUCUCAAAAAGCCGAUCUCAGUCCGGAUUGAGGUCUGAAACUCGACCUCAUGAAGUUGGAAUUGCUAGUAAUCGUGAAUCAGAUAUGUCACGGUGAAUAUGUUCCUGGGUCUUGUACACACCGCCCGU
This 486-nucleotide ribosomal RNA is filed under the name uncultured bacterium. RNAcentral's name for it is "partial 16S ribosomal RNA". It matches the Rfam family "Bacterial small subunit ribosomal RNA", at positions 899 to 1397 of the family's 1533-position model. The record is from RNAcentral.